UUUUUUUUUAUGAAUUCAAUCCAAAAAAAUCAUCUUAAUCAUCAUCAUUUCUUUUCUUUUUUGGGAUGAAAACAAAAACAACUUUUUCUUUGUUACAGGAAGAAAUCACCAAAAUCACCAAUGGCAUCUUCAACCUUUCCAACAAUGAUCAAAUGCACCACAAAUUGGUAAAUAAAAGCACACCGUUUGAAUUUCAAUUUAAAGUUUCCUCUUGAUUCUUAGCCUCUCUCCUUGCUUCAUCCAAAUCAUGUACUUUUAGAAAUCAUCAGAGCUCAAUCCAUUCGAACCCUCUUGUUUUGAUUUGUGUUUUUUCUUUUGUUUAAAGAUUAUUGCUGAUUUGCAGUGUUAGUAAAUCUGAAGAAGAAAAUAAUUAGAAAAUGAGCUUGAAGAUUUUGCUUGAUUUGACUUAUUGUUUGAAAUGAAAGUGAAGUUUUUUUAGUGGAGAAAUUGUUAGGUUUUCCAUGAAAAGAUGAUGUUGAUGCCGAAAUUGUUGUUGUUUUUGCAAUAAUUAUAGGUUUUCUUUUAUGGGUUAUUUCAUGAGAACGAAAAGGAUUUAUGGGUUUGUUGUUGCUAAUUGAUUUUGUUGUUGUUGUAUGAGAAGAUUUAUGGGUUACUUCAUGAUGAUGAUGUCAAAAUUGUUUUUGCUACCGUAGAUGUUCUUUCUAUUUUUCAGAAAUGGAUGAAAGAGAAGAUUGAGAUGGGGAAGAUGAUGGAUGAAGGAGAUGAAGGAUUGAUUUUGCUGUUGACGUUCUUUCUAUUUUCUGGGUUUUGGAUAAAGAUUGAUUAAGGUGAUGAUGAUGAUGAUGAAGGUUCAUGAAGGUGAUGAUGAAGAAAAUGAUGAAGAUUGAGAAAUUGUUUUUCCAAAAAUGGAUGAAGAAGAUGAAGGCUUUAAGUCGAGAAGAUGAAGAAUUUAAGUGGAGAAUAGGAAGAAAAUAAAUUAAGUUUUCAUGCAAUGCCAUAAUGACACGUGUACAACAGUUAACAUUUUUUUUUAUUAAACCUAACGUUUUUUAAUUAAACUUAACG
RNAcentral lists this long non-coding RNA (1026 nucleotides) under Medicago truncatula (barrel medic). Its description in RNAcentral is "long non-coding RNA (MTRU_LNC007469)". Lineage: Eukaryota; Viridiplantae; Streptophyta; Magnoliopsida; Fabales; Fabaceae. The record is from RNAcentral.